This 511-nucleotide long non-coding RNA is filed under the name Saimiri boliviensis boliviensis (Bolivian squirrel monkey). RNAcentral describes it as "lncRNA (ENSSBOG00000036696.1)". Lineage: Eukaryota; Metazoa; Chordata; Mammalia; Primates; Cebidae. The record is from RNAcentral.
CACACGGGCGAACCAUGUGUACCUGUGGUUUAAGCAGCGUGAAGUCUGAAAGCAAUCGUUUUCGAAAGUGCUUUGCCAUUCUUUGAAAUGUGCAGAAGAAAAGAGAUCGUAGUCAGCACUCCCUCCAGGACCCACCUCUGUACUGACUUCAGAUCAUCACGUCCAGACAAGCUGGGGCACGGGAGCAGUCAGGAGGACGGAGAGGUCCCACUGAAGCUGGCCCGGUGGCGGUCACGGUCGGGUUUGCCACGAAGGAUCAUUCCAAAAGCCUAUUAAGUGAAUUCCUGUAGCCCAUUCAGCCGAUGGAAGGAGGACCAAGAAAAUCCUUCUGGAUUUUGGAGUAUCAGCCUCGACUCCGCUUCUUUCUGCAUUCUCUUGAUUGGCUUCAGGCUCCAGUGUCAGGUCAGCAGUGUUGUGGAGAGCUUGUCCCUGGGAGGGGACAGGAUCAAGGCCAGGCCAUAAAUGGGGGCCUCGGGAGGAGGGAGCGUGAGUGGGUCAGGAGAGAGAAGGC